Homo sapiens (human) is the source of this 3075-nucleotide RNA transcript. It is a transcript of the gene named UDP glucuronosyltransferase family 2 member A3, with no coding region annotated. The record is from RefSeq and is marked validated. Lineage: Eukaryota; Metazoa; Chordata; Mammalia; Primates; Hominidae. The transcript has 7 exons.
AACUACAAAACCAUUGCAGAUCAGUGUGUGAGGGAACUGCCAUCAUGAGGUCUGACAAGUCAGCUUUGGUAUUUCUGCUCCUGCAGCUCUUCUGUGUUGGCUGUGGAUUCUGUGGGAAAGUCCUGGUGUGGCCCUGUGACAUGAGCCAUUGGCUUAAUGUCAAGGUCAUUCUAGAAGAGCUCAUAGUGAGAGGCCAUGAGGUAACAGUAUUGACUCACUCAAAGCCUUCGUUAAUUGACUACAGGAAGCCUUCUGCAUUGAAAUUUGAGGUGGUCCAUAUGCCACAGGACAGAACAGAAGAAAAUGAAAUAUUUGUUGACCUAGCUCUGAAUGUCUUGCCAGGCUUAUCAACCUGGCAAUCAGUUAUAAAAUUAAAUGAUUUUUUUGUUGAAAUAAGAGGAACUUUAAAAAUGAUGUGUGAGAGCUUUAUCUACAAUCAGACGCUUAUGAAGAAGCUACAGGAAACCAACUACGAUGUAAUGCUUAUAGACCCUGUGAUUCCCUGUGGAGACCUGAUGGCUGAGUUGCUUGCAGUCCCUUUUGUGCUCACACUUAGAAUUUCUGUAGGAGGCAAUAUGGAGCGAAGCUGUGGGAAACUUCCAGCUCCACUUUCCUAUGUACCUGUGCCUAUGACAGGACUAACAGACAGAAUGACCUUUCUGGAAAGAGUAAAAAAUUCAAUGCUUUCAGUUUUGUUCCACUUCUGGAUUCAGGAUUACGACUAUCAUUUUUGGGAAGAGUUUUAUAGUAAGGCAUUAGGAAGGCCCACUACAUUAUGUGAGACUGUGGGAAAAGCUGAGAUAUGGCUAAUACGAACAUAUUGGGAUUUUGAAUUUCCUCAACCAUACCAACCUAACUUUGAGUUUGUUGGAGGAUUGCACUGUAAACCUGCCAAAGCUUUGCCUAAGGAAAGUUAUACCAGAAAACCAAGCUCUCUUAAGCCAUGGCAUCUGUAUCUAAAAUAGAAAUACAGAAGGAGAGCUGACAAUUUCCAUCAUUCUCUAGGAAAUGGAAAAUUUUGUCCAGAGUUCAGGGGAAGAUGGUAUUGUGGUGUUUUCUCUGGGGUCACUGUUUCAAAAUGUUACAGAAGAAAAGGCUAAUAUCAUUGCUUCAGCCCUUGCCCAGAUCCCACAGAAGGUGUUAUGGAGGUACAAAGGAAAAAAACCAUCCACAUUAGGAGCCAAUACUCGGCUGUAUGAUUGGAUACCCCAGAAUGAUCUUCUUGGUCAUCCCAAAACCAAAGCUUUUAUCACUCAUGGUGGAAUGAAUGGGAUCUAUGAAGCUAUUUACCAUGGGGUCCCUAUGGUGGGAGUUCCCAUAUUUGGUGAUCAGCUUGAUAACAUAGCUCACAUGAAGGCCAAAGGAGCAGCUGUAGAAAUAAACUUCAAAACUAUGACAAGCGAAGAUUUACUGAGGGCUUUGAGAACAGUCAUUACCGAUUCCUCUUAUAAAGAGAAUGCUAUGAGAUUAUCAAGAAUUCACCAUGAUCAACCUGUAAAGCCCCUAGAUCGAGCAGUCUUCUGGAUCGAGUUUGUCAUGCGCCACAAAGGAGCCAAGCACCUGCGAUCAGCUGCCCAUGACCUCACCUGGUUCCAGCACUACUCUAUAGAUGUGAUUGGGUUCCUGCUGGCCUGUGUGGCAACUGCUAUAUUCUUGUUCACAAAAUGUUUUUUAUUUUCCUGUCAAAAAUUUAAUAAAACUAGAAAGAUAGAAAAGAGGGAAUAGAUCUUUCCAAAUUCAAGAAAGACCUGAUGGGGUAAUCCUGUUAAUUCCAGCCACAUAGAAUUUGGUGAAAACCUUGCUAUUUUCAUAUUAUCUAUUCUGUUAUUUUAUCUUAGCUAUAUAGCCUAGAAUUCCACGAUCAUGAGGUUGUGAGUAUAUCUCAUUCUUUCGUUGUAUUUUCCUAGGUGUCUUUACUCUCUUCUCUCACUUUGUGACACAAGGACAUGAAUACAUCUAAAUUUUCCUAUUUCUGAUAUGACUGUUUUGAUGAUGUCAUUACUUCUAUAACCUUAAGUGAUAGGGUGACAUGCAAUAUGAUUAUUCCUGGUGUGCGCCCAAACACAUGGAUAUAAAGAGGUAAAAAACUUAAAAUUCACAAAAUUCAGUAAACCACACAAAUCAGGUAAGUGUUCUAUGAGAUUAGCUGGCUAUGAGAAACAUAAUGAUGUUUCUUUUUCAAUUUAAAUAAGCCCUUCUACAUAGCCAGCAUCAGUGAUCUCAGAAAAUAAAUUGCUAAUAAUGAUGACAUGGCAUUAUGCUUAGAAAAGUUUGCUGUAUUUCCAUAGACCUCAUCUAGAUGUCAUGGCCUACAUUUCUGCCAUCACUCAACCAAUACUUUUUUCUGUUUUCUUGAUGAUAAAAAGACCUUUCUCAUGAUUGCCAUCAAAUAACAAAAGAAACUAUUUUUUUUCUCACAUAGAGAACAUGUCAGUAAGAUAUUCAAGGUGAACAGAUUAUUUUUGGGAUUAGUAACUAUUUGAAAUAUGUGGUGAUAAUUACUGAGUUUAUAAAAUUUAUUUGAUAGUACACUUAAAGAAGAUUUAUAUGUUUAUUCUUUAAAAAUGAUGAAUACUCAUAAUUCUUAUCUCUAUAAUCAAAAGUAUAAUUUACUGUAGAAAAAUAAAGAGAUGCUUGUUCUGAAAGUAAGAUCAGUGAACUGCUUUUCAGUCUCAAUCUUUGAGAAUUGUAAAUUCAUCAAAUAAUUGCUUACAUAGUAAAAAUUUAAGGUAUUAGAAAACCUGCAUAACAAAUAGUAUUAUAUAUUAAAUAUUUUGAUAUGUAAAGCUCUACACAAAGCUAAAUAUAGUGUAAUAAUGUUUACACUAAUAAGCAAAUAUGUUAAUCUUCUCAUUUUUUUACUGUCAUAUAAUCUUAGUGAUAUGCCUAUUAAUAGUUUUAAAUAAAUAAAUUGGCUCAUCUGGCUUUUUGAAAAUUUUGAAAUUCUUACAGAUGUUGAUUAGGUAUAUCUACAAAUUAAUUUCAAUUUUAAAAUGAUGAUAUAAAAAUAAAUAUAAGUAUUUUUCUUGUGUAUGUAUACAAUAAAUAUAAAUAAAAUUGUUUACUGUUUUGAAA